GGAUACUACUGGAAACGGUAGCUAAUACCGCAUAAUGUCGCAAGACCAAAGAGGGGGACCUUCGGGCCUCUUGCCAUCAGAUGUGCCCAGAUGGGAUUAGCUAGUAGGUGGGGUAACGGCUCACCUAGGCGACGAUCCCUAGCUGGUCUGAGAGGAUGACCAGCCACACUGGAACUGAGACACGGUCCAGACUCCUACGGGAGGCAGCAGUGGGGAAUAUUGCACAAUGGGCGCAAGCCUGAUGCAGCCAUGCCGCGUGUAUGAAGAAGGCCUUCGGGUUGUAAAGUACUUUCAGCGGGGAGGAAGGUGUUGAGGUUAAUAACCUCAGCAAUUGACGUUACCCGCAGAAGAAGCACCGGCUAACUCCGUGCCAGCAGCCGCGGGUAAUACGAA
This 393-nucleotide ribosomal RNA is filed under the name Pantoea agglomerans. Its description in RNAcentral is "bacterial SSU rRNA". It matches the Rfam family "Bacterial small subunit ribosomal RNA", at positions 141 to 529 of the family's 1533-position model. The record is from RNAcentral. Lineage: Bacteria; Pseudomonadati; Pseudomonadota; Gammaproteobacteria; Enterobacterales; Erwiniaceae.